Molecule: ribosomal RNA, 494 nt
Filed under: uncultured eukaryote
Lineage: Eukaryota
Description: SSU rRNA
Rfam family: Eukaryotic small subunit ribosomal RNA
Source: RNAcentral
UAGUCAUAUGCUUGUCUUAAAGAUUAACCCAUGCAUGUGUAAGUAUAGUAUCAUACAGCGAGACUGCGAAUGGCUCAUUAAAACAGUUAUAGUUUAUUUGAUGGAUAAAGAUAUGGAUAACCGUAGUAAUUCUAGAGCUAAUACAUGCGUGAAAGCCUUCCGCAAGGAGGGCUGUAUUUAUUAGAUAAAGCCAGCAUUUAGGUGACUCAUAAUAACUUAGCGAAUCGCGGAUUUUAUCUGCGAUAUGUCAUUCAAGUAUCUGCCCUAUCAGCUUUGAUGGUAGUGUAUUGGACUACCAUGGCAUUAACGGGUAACGGGGAAUUAGGGUUCGAUUCCGGAGAAAGAGCCUGAGAAACGGCUAUUACAUCUAAGGACGGCAGCAGGGGCGUAAAUUACCCAAUCUUAAUUUAAGGAGGUAGUGACAAGAAAUAUCGAACCGGAGCAAUCCGGGAUUGGAAUGGGCCAAACGUAAAACCCUUGGCGAGUAACAAUUG